Molecule: ribosomal RNA, 275 nt
Filed under: uncultured bacterium
Lineage: Bacteria
Description: partial 16S ribosomal RNA
Rfam family: Archaeal small subunit ribosomal RNA
Source: RNAcentral
ACACCGGCGGCCCGAGUGGUAACCGAUUUUAUUGGGUUUAAAGGGUCCGUAGCCGGCCUGUUAAGUCUCUUGGGAAAUCUAGCGGCUUAAUCGUUAGACGUCCAAGAGAUACUGACAGGCUUGGGACCGGGAGAGGUGAGAGGUACUCCAUGGGUAGGGGUGAAAUCUUGUAAUCCUUGGGGGACCAUCGAUGGCGAAGGCAUCUCACCAGAACGGGUCCGACGGUGAGGGACGAAAGCUGGGGGCACGAACCGGAUUAGAAACCCCGGUAGUCC